RNAcentral lists this ribosomal RNA (1377 nucleotides) under Escherichia coli. Its description in RNAcentral is "partial 23S ribosomal RNA". It matches the Rfam family "Bacterial large subunit ribosomal RNA", at positions 1436 to 2798 of the family's 2925-position model. The record is from RNAcentral. Lineage: Bacteria; Pseudomonadati; Pseudomonadota; Gammaproteobacteria; Enterobacterales; Enterobacteriaceae.
UUCCUGUACUUGGUGUUACUGCGAAGGGGGGACGGAGAAGGCUAUGUUGGCCGGGCGACGGUUGUCCCGGUUUAAGCGUGUAGGCUGGUUUUCCAGGCAAAUCCGGAAAAUCAAGGCUGAGGCGUGAUGACGAGGCACUACGGUGCUGAAGCAACAAAUGCCCUGCUUCCAGGAAAAGCCUCUAAGCAUCAGGUAACAUCAAAUCGUACCCCAAACCGACACAGGUGGUCAGGUAGAGAAUACCAAGGCGCUUGAGAGAACUCGGGUGAAGGAACUAGGCAAAAUGGUGCCGUAACUUCGGGAGAAGGCACGCUGAUAUGUAGGUGAAGUCCCUCGCGGAUGGAGCUGAAAUCAGUCGAAGAUACCAGCUGGCUGCAACUGUUUAUUAAAAACACAGCACUGUGCAAACACGAAAGUGGACGUAUACGGUGUGACGCCUGCCCGGUGCCGGAAGGUUAAUUGAUGGGGUCAGCGCAAGCGAAGCUCUUGAUCGAAGCCCCGGUAAACGGCGGCCGUAACUAUAACGGUCCUAAGGUAGCGAAAUUCCUUGUCGGGUAAGUUCCGACCUGCACGAAUGGCGUAAUGAUGGCCAGGCUGUCUCCACCCGAGACUCAGUGAAAUUGAACUCGCUGUGAAGAUGCAGUGUACCCGCGGCAAGACGGAAAGACCCCGUGAACCUUUACUAUAGCUUGACACUGAACAUUGAGCCUUGAUGUGUAGGAUAGGUGGGAGGCUUUGAAGUGUGGACGCCAGUCUGCAUGGAGCCGACCUUGAAAUACCACCCUUUAAUGUUUGAUGUUCUAACGUUGACCCGUGAUCCGGGUUGCGGACAGUGUCUGGUGGGUAGUUUGACUGGGGCGGUCUCCUCCUAAAGAGUAACGGAGGAGCACGAAGGUUGGCUAAUCCUGGUCGGACAUCAGGAGGUUAGUGCAAUGGCAUAAGCCAGCUUGACUGCGAGCGUGACGGCGCGAGCAGGUGCGAAAGCAGGUCAUAGUGAUCCGGUGGUUCUGAAUGGAAGGGCCAUCGCUCAACGGAUAAAAGGUACUCCGGGGAUAACAGGCUGAUACCGCCCAAGAGUUCAUAUCGACGGCGGUGUUUGGCACCUCGAUGUCGGCUCAUCACAUCCUGGGGCUGAAGUAGGUCCCAAGGGUAUGGCUGUUCGCCAUUUAAAGUGGUACGCGAGCUGGGUUUAGAACGUCGUGAGACAGUUCGGUCCCUAUCUGCCGUGGGCGCUGGAGAACUGAGGGGGGCUGCUCCUAGUACGAGAGGACCGGAGUGGACGCAUCACUGGUGUUCGGGUUGUCAUGCCAAUGGCACUGCCCGGUAGCUAAAUGCGGAAGAGAUAAGUGCUGAAAGCAUCUAAGCACGAAACUUGCC